This 379-nucleotide unclassified non-coding RNA is filed under the name fungal sp. RNAcentral's name for it is "partial internal transcribed spacer region". The stretch from base 1 to 46 matches the Rfam family "Eukaryotic small subunit ribosomal RNA", at positions 1786 to 1831 of the family's 1831-position model. The record is from RNAcentral. Lineage: Eukaryota; Fungi.
AAGUCGUAACAAGGUUUUCGUAGGUGAACCUGCGGAAGGAUCAUUAACACGUAUCCAAACGUUAAAACCCCCCCCGUGAACCUUCAUCCUGCUCUUGUAACCCGCGUAGUUCGCAAUCUCUGAUAAAUCAUAGCCCGGAAAGUUGUAGUGAUUCAGAGACAGUUCUAUAGGCAAUGUUUCCCCAAGCAGUCAGUGUCGGAAAGUGUCAUUGAUUGUGCAAGGAUAGCGCUUCACCGAUUCCUGUAGACCGUACACUCGGGCAGGAGCUUUGCCAAAGGGUCCCCAUGCCCCCUAAUAACCCCACAGUUUAAUGUGAAGCUCAAUGUAAUACUUUGGGUAAAAAACCGAACAACUGUUAACAAUGGAUAUCUUGGUUCUC